CUUCGGACAAUAUACAAGGUGCUGCAGUGGUUGUCGUCAGCUCGUGCCGUGAGGUGGCGGGUUAAGUCCCAUAACGAGCGCAACCCCUAUCAUUAGUUGCCAUCAGGUCAAGCUGGGGACUCUAAUGAAACUGCCUACGCAAGUAGUGAGGAAGGUGGGGAUGACGUCAAAUCAGCACGGCCCUUACGUCCAGGGCUACACACGUGCUACAAUGGCCGAUACAGAGGGCAGCUACCUGGUGACAGGAUGCAAAUCUCCAAAGUCGGUCUCAGUUCGGAUCGGAGUCUGCAACCCGACUCCGUGAAGUUGGAUUCGCUAGUAAUCGCAGAUCAGCCAAGCUGCGGUGAAUACGUUCCCGGGCCUU
RNAcentral lists this ribosomal RNA (364 nucleotides) under uncultured Sphingobacteriales bacterium. RNAcentral describes it as "bacterial SSU rRNA". It matches the Rfam family "Bacterial small subunit ribosomal RNA", at positions 1020 to 1382 of the family's 1533-position model. The record is from RNAcentral. Lineage: Bacteria; Pseudomonadati; Bacteroidota; Sphingobacteriia; Sphingobacteriales.